This 483-nucleotide ribosomal RNA is filed under the name uncultured bacterium. Its description in RNAcentral is "partial 16S ribosomal RNA". It matches the Rfam family "Bacterial small subunit ribosomal RNA", at positions 28 to 523 of the family's 1533-position model. The record is from RNAcentral.
GAUGAACGCUGGCGGCGUGCCUAAUACAUGCAAGUCGAGCGGAAAGCCCUUCGGGGUACUCGAGCGGCGGACGGCUGAGGAACACGUGGGAACAUACCCCAGAGUGAGGAAUAACGCACCGAAAGGUGUGCUAAUACCGCAUAAUCUCUUUGGAGCAAAGCAGCAAUCCGCUUUGGGAAUGGCCUGCGUCCGAUUAGCUAGUUGGUAGGGUAAGAGCCUACCAAGGCGAUGAUCGGUAACUGGUCUGAGAGGACGACCAGUCACACUGGGACUGAGACACGGCCCAGACCCCUACGGGAGGCAGCAGUGGGGAAUCUUGGACAAUGGGGGCAACCCUGAUCCAGCGAUGCCGCGUGGGUGAAGAAGGCCUUCGGGUUGUAAAGCCCUUUAGGUUGGGACGAAGGUUGCGGGAGGAUAAUGCUCGUAACUUGACGGUACUAACAGAAUAAGCACCGGCAAACUCUGUGCCAGCCGCCGCCGUAA